GUAGAUAUAUGGAAGAACACCAGUGGCGAAGGCGGCUUUCUGGUCUGUUACUGACGCUGAGGCUCGAAAGCAUGGGUAGCGAACAGGAUUAGAUACCCUGGUAGUCCAUGCCGUAAACGAUGAAUACUAGGUGUUGGAGGGUUUCCGCCCUUCAGUGCCGCAGCUAACGCAUUAAGUAUUCCGCCUGGGGAGUACGACCGCAAGGUUGAAACUCAAAGGAAUUGACGGGGGCCCGCACAAGUGGUGGAGCAUGUGGUUUAAUUCGAUGCUACGCGAAGAACCUUACCAGCUCUUGACAUCUUCUGCCAACCUAAGAGAUUAGGCGUUCCCUUCGGGGACAGAAUGACAGGUGGUGCAUGGUUGUCGUCAGCUCGUGUCGUGAGAUGUUGGGUUAAGUCCCGCAACGAGCGCAACCCUUAUUAUUAGUUGCCAGCAUUUAGUUGGGCACUCUAGUGAGACUGCCGGUGAUAAACCGGAGGAAGGUGGGGAUGACGUCAAAUCAUCAUGCCCCUUAUGAGCUGGGCUACACACGUGCUACAAUGGAUGGUACAACGAGUCGCGAAACCGCGAGGUCAAGCUAAUCUCUUAAAGCCAUUCUCAGUUCGGAUUGCAGGCUGCAACUCGCCUGCAUGAAGUUGGAAUCACUAGUAAUCGUGGAUCAGCAUGCCACGGUGAAUACGUUCCCGGGCCUUGUACACACCGCCCGUCACACCAUGAGAGUUUGUAACACCCCUU
RNAcentral lists this ribosomal RNA (735 nucleotides) under Lactobacillaceae bacterium H20_9_1SCO2. RNAcentral's name for it is "bacterial SSU rRNA". It matches the Rfam family "Bacterial small subunit ribosomal RNA", at positions 690 to 1425 of the family's 1533-position model. The record is from RNAcentral. Lineage: Bacteria; Bacillati; Bacillota; Bacilli; Lactobacillales; Lactobacillaceae.